GCCGGCGUAGCUCAGCAGGUAGAGCAGACGAUUCGUAAUCGUCAGGUCAUCGGUUCGAAUCCGAUCGCCGGCUCCA
Molecule: transfer RNA, 76 nt
Filed under: Pseudomonadota bacterium
Lineage: Bacteria; Pseudomonadati; Pseudomonadota
Also listed under: 4 other names
Description: tRNA-Thr
Rfam family: tRNA
About the family: Transfer RNA (tRNA) molecules are approximately 80 nucleotides in length.
Source: RNAcentral